UAGCAUGGAAUAAUGAAAUAGGACUUGGUUCUUCUUGUUGGUUUGUGGGCCAAAGUAAUGAUUAAUAGGGCCAGUCGGGGGCAUUAGUAUUCGGCAGUCAGAGGUGAAAUUCUUGGAUUUGCUGAAGACUAACUAGUGCGAAAGCAUUUGCCAAGGAUGUUUUCAUUAAUCAAGAACGAAAGUUAGGGGAUCGAAGACGAUCAGAUACCGUCGUAGUCUUAACUAUAAACGAUGCCGACUCGGGAUCGGCAGGCUUCGUUCGCGAACCUGUCGGCACCGUGUGAGAAAUCAAAGUUUUUGGGUUCUGGGGGGAGUAUGGUCGCAAGGCUGAAACUUAAAGGAAUUGACGGAAGAGCACCACCAGGAGUGGAGCCUGCGGCUUAAUUCGACUCAACACGGGAAAACUCACCAGGUCCGGACAUAGUAAGGAUUGACAGAUUGAGAGCUCUUUCUUGAUUCUGUGGGUGGUGGUGCAUGGCCGUUCUUAGUUGGUGGAGUGAUUUGUCUGGUUAAUUCCGAUAACGAACGAGACCUUAACCUGCUAACUAGUGCACAUUACGCGAUGACUUCUUAGAGGGACUGACUAUUUUAAUAGUCGGAAGUUUGAGGCAAUAACAGGUCUGUGAUGCCCUUAGAUGUUCUGGGCUGCACGCGCGCUACACUGACAAAGGCAGCGAGUUACCUUGGCCGAGAGGUCUGGGAAAUCUUGUAAAACUUUGUCGUGCUGGGGAUAGAGCAUUGCAAU
Molecule: ribosomal RNA, 745 nt
Filed under: uncultured eukaryote
Lineage: Eukaryota
Description: SSU rRNA
Rfam family: Eukaryotic small subunit ribosomal RNA
Source: RNAcentral